AGCAGCCGCGGUAAUUCCAGCUCCAAUAGCGUAUAUUAAAGUUGUUGCAGUUAAAAAGCUCGUAGUUGAAUUUCGGGAUCAAUAUAUCGGUCGUGCCUCCGGUAUGCACUGGUAUUAUUGAUUUCUACCUUCUGACGAAUCAUGAUGUCAUUAAUUUGGUGUCAUGGGGAAUCAGGACUGUUACUUUGAAAAAUUAGAGUGUUUAAAGCAGGCACACGCUUGAAUACAUUAGCAUGGAAUAAUGAAAUAGGACGUUUGACCCUAUUUUGUUGGUUUCUAGGAUCGACGUAAUGAUUAAUAGGGAUAGUUGGGGGCAUUAGUAUUCAAUUGUCAGAGGUGAAAUUCUUGGAUUUAUUGAAGACUAACUACUGCGAAAGCAUUUGCCAAGGAUGUUUUCAUUAAUCAAGAACGAAAGUUAGGGGAUCGAAGACGAUCAGAUACCGUCGUAGUCUUAACCAUAAACUAUGCCGACUAGGGAUCGGAUGAUGUUAAUUUUUAAUUGUACU
Molecule: ribosomal RNA, 506 nt
Filed under: uncultured Glomeromycotina
Lineage: Eukaryota; Fungi; Glomeromycota
Description: SSU rRNA
Rfam family: Eukaryotic small subunit ribosomal RNA
Source: RNAcentral